Molecule: ribosomal RNA, 253 nt
Filed under: uncultured bacterium
Lineage: Bacteria
Description: partial 16S ribosomal RNA
Rfam family: Bacterial small subunit ribosomal RNA
Source: RNAcentral
UACGGAGGGUGCAAGCGUUAUCCGGAUUCACUGGGUUUAAAGGGUGCGUAGGUGGAUCGGUAGGUCCGUGGUGAAAUCCCCGAGCUUAACUCGGGAACUGCCGUGGAUACUAUCGAUCUUGAAUACUGUGGAGGUAAGCGGAAUAUGUCAUGUAGCGGUGAAAUGCUUAGAUAUGACAUAGAACACCGAUAGCGAAGGCAGCUUGCUACACAGUUAUUGACGCUGAGGCACGAAAGCGUGGGGAGCAAACAGG